This is a non-coding RNA of Cucurbita pepo subsp. pepo (vegetable marrow), 1756 nucleotides long. The record is from RefSeq and is a predicted model, not a curated record. NCBI's taxonomy places the organism in Eukaryota, Viridiplantae, Streptophyta, Magnoliopsida, Cucurbitales, Cucurbitaceae.
UCGGAGGCGGGAGACCUCUCGUAAACCAUAACAUCGAAGAGAAGCAGCGAAGACGAAGGAAAGAGGUUACCGCUUGAAUACUCUUCUCCAUUUGAAUUCUCAAGUUCAUUCUCCAGUCUCGAGUUCUCUGCUUUCAUGGAGUUACAGCAGGAGCAAACACCGUCGGAAUCCAUAGAAGAUUCUUUGAAGCUCUUGAAGGACGAGCAGCGUCUUGCUGGCCUUUUCUUAGUCUCUAAAAUUUGCGAGGUGGACGAUCGUGCCUCGCUUACUAGAGUUUACUAUGCUGUUGGAGAGAAGUUUCUUGGCACUGGUAAGGAAUUAUUAGUUGACCUGGAGAGGAGAAUUGCGAUGUGUAUUUGUAGCUGUAUGUUAGGAUUUUGGCUUGGCUGCGUUUUUUCAUGUUCCUGAGAUUUCUGGAGAUCGUCUCGGAGAUUCUGCUGAUACUAGAGGCCUAAUCCAGCCAAUGCGUCGGCUAUCCGUAUACUUUCUGUUGAUUAUUGACGGUAACUAGAACGAUCACUUAUCCUCCUUAUUCCUUUGACUAUUGAUGUUCUGUUGAGAUAAUGUAUUAGAUUGAUCACAAGGCACGACAUCAGAUUUGCAAUAUAAUUAUUUACUUCAUUGUCCUGAAUUAACCACGAAUUCACUUCUGCUCUGUGGAUUUAGGUUCUUACCAUUAGGAAAUAAUCGAUUUAAUCGUGGACAAGAUUUUCCAGAGAGAGAUAUACAUUAUGCUUUCUUUUCUGGUCUGAGCUCCUUAAUCGAUGUUUCUCUUAUUGUUUAUGCAAGGUCAGGAUCUUCCGUUUUGGAGGAGCGUUUUGAAUUUUUAUAUCUUGUAUCAACUGCUUCCGUUGUUGGAGUCUCCAUUCUAUAUAAAUCUGGAUUCUGAAAUUAAUGGUGCUAACAGUAAAGAUUACGUGCGUAGUUUCUUGUCUAAUGCAUCAAUUGUAGGUUGAUUUAUCCAGUUGGACAUUCUUUUUGGUUUUAAUUAUCUUUCACUAAUUGCAGAAUUUUCUGCCAUGUUAGUUCUUGGUUUUUUCAUAAUUACAGAUUGUUAUUGUUUGGCUGAUGUGUUAUAUGUUUCAGACAUCACGUUAAAAUGUCUUUCGUGUCUAGUGCCCUCCAAUGUUUGGUCCAAACAUAUGCGUGAUGGAAUUUCAGCUAUCCUUCACGCAUUUUCUUCAGGCUCUUAGUUUGGCUGUGUCUAUGGUGUCUAUUCUAGGAGAAGUUUGGCUGAUAGGCGAAAUUGAAUUACCUGAUGUUCGAGAUCCUAUUCCAUCCGACAGUCAAGAGCUGAGAUCGGUAUGGUGCUGAAUGAACUGGCCCAUAUGAAAUAUGAUGCUUGAAAGAAUUUCUCCUUGAAGGAGAGUGUUAUCUUAAAGCAGCGGAAUGUGGCUACUGCCUUCUUUUUGGUGGAAAAGAUAAUUAAGUUGAUAUCAAAUGUUGGUGAAGAUCAAGGUUGUGAAAUGAAAAUGCCUUAUAAAUUUGAUUCACAAGCAUGGUGGCUGGAUUGACGACAAUGGAUCGGAUCCAUCUUUUUGGCUUGUUAUACAAUCUUGAUCGUGCUUCUGAAGAAGGAACUAGCUGAGCAUCUAUGUGGCGAAUCAUCUUUUGUUAGCCUUUUGGCAGCAGUUGCCAAAUUCGACUGGUAUCUUUCUUUGAUUAUUGCCUUCACCUGCAUGUUGGAUUAGUGCCUUUAAUUGAUGCCUCCAUGUUUAAAGAUACUACGUUAUGUUGCCUGCUUUAUUAGGGUCAU